RNAcentral lists this ribosomal RNA (735 nucleotides) under uncultured soil bacterium. Its description in RNAcentral is "bacterial SSU rRNA". It matches the Rfam family "Bacterial small subunit ribosomal RNA", at positions 31 to 772 of the family's 1533-position model. The record is from RNAcentral.
GAACGCUGGCGGCGUGCUUUACACAUGCAAGUCGAGCGAGGCGGCCCGCAAGGGUCAGUCGAGCGGCGAACGGGUGAGUAACACGUGGAUUAUCUACCCUAAGGUGGGGAACAACCCGGGGAAACUCGGGCUGAUACCGCAUGAUACCGAAAGGUCAAAGGAGGCUCGCAAGGGCUUCCGCCAUAGGAGGAGUCUGCGUCCGAUUAGCUAGUUGGUAGGGUAAUGGCCUACCAAGGCGACGAUCGGUAGCCGGCCUGAGAGGGCGAUCGGCCACACUGGGACUGAGACACGGCCCAGACUCCUACGGGAGGCAGCAGUGGGGAAUAUUGCACAAUGGGCGAAAGCCUGAUGCAGCGACGCCGCGUGAGGGAUGAAGGCCUUCGGGUUGUAAACCUCUUUCAGCAGGGAAGAAGUGCCUGGGUUUUCUUGGGUGUGACGGUACCUGCAGAAGAAGCACCGGCUAACUACGUGCCAGCAGCCGCGGUAAUACGUAGGGUGCAAGCGUUGUCCGGAAUUAUUGGGCGUAAAGAGCUUGUAGGCGGUUUGUCGCGUCUGCUGUGAAAUUUCGGGGCUCAACCCCGAACUUGCAGUGGGUACGGGCAGACUAGAGUGUGGUAGGGGAGACUGGAAUUCCUGGUGUAGCGGUGAAAUGCGCAGAUAUCAGGAGGAACACCGAUGGCGAAGGCAGGUCUCUGGGCCACUACUGACGCUGAGAAGCGAAAGCAUGGGAGCGAA